CACAUCCUCCCAACAGCUAGCCUUUACACUAAUAAACAACAACCAAUAUUAAUAACCCCAAACAACCUGCUACUAAAAAUUAAAUCAUUCUUCCUCCCUAGUAUGGGCGACAAAAAAGGAAUUUAAAGAGCAAUAGAAAAAGUACCGCAAGGGAAAGCUGAAAAAGUAAAUGAAAAAACCCAUCAAAGAGUAAAAAAGCAGAGAUUCCCCCUCGUACCUUUUGCAUCAUGACUUAGCUAGUCCCCCUCGAGCAAAGUGCCCUUUAGUUCGAGCCCCCGAAACUAAGUGAGCUACUCCAAGACAGCCUUAUCUAGGGCGAACCCGUCUCUGUGGCAAAAGAGUGGGAAGAUCUUCGAGUAGAGGUGAUAGACCUACCGAACCUAGUUACAGCUGGUUGCCCACAAAAUGAAUAGAAGUUCAGCCUUUAGAAUUCUUGACUCAACCGUGGCUUUUGCCUUCAGUGACAUAAAGUAAGUCUAAAGAGUUAUUCAGGGGAGGAACAGCUCCCCUGAAAAAGAUACAACUUAAAUUAGAAGGUCAAGGAUCAUAAACCCCAAGGUCCCGCACCUAAGUAGGCCUAAAAGCAGCCACCCAUAAAGACAGCGUUAAAGCUCAAGUGCACCCUUCCCCUAUAAUUUUGAUAGCCCGCUCCUAUGCCCCUAAACACAAUAAUGGGCCUUUUCAUGCAAACAUGAAAGAGAUACUGCUAACAUGAGUAAUAAGGGGGGCCUGCCCCUCUCCCAGACAUCUGUGUAAAUCAAAACGAACCCCACUGACAAUUAACGCCCCAAACCAAAGAUGGAAUUGAGAUAAUUCAUAAUAAUCAAGAAAACCACUCAAAAACUUAACGUUAACCCAACACAGGUGUGUCCAAGGAAAGACUAAAAGAAAAAGAAGGAACUCGGCAAACACUGGCCUCGCCUGUUUACCAAAAACAUCGCCUCUUGCACAAUUUCAACCGUAUAAGAGGUCCCGCCUGCCCUGUGACUAACAGUUUAACGGCCGCGGUAUUCUGACCGUGCGAAGGUAGCGUAAUCACUUGUCUUUUAAAUGAAGACCUGUAUGAAUGGCAUAACGAGGGCCAAGCUGUCUCCUUUUUCCAGUCAAUGAAAUUGAUCUCCCCGUGCAGAAGCGAGGAUACUUUCAUAAGACGAGAAGACCCUAUGGAGCUUAAGACACAAGGCAGCCCAUGUAAAAACACUUAUAUCAACAAGAGAAACAAAAUGAAAACUGCCCUAAUGUCUUUGGUUGGGGCGACCGCGGGGUAACAAAAACCCCCCAUGUGGAAUAGAAACUUUUUUCCUAAAGCAAGAGCCACCGCUCAAACAAGCAGAACAUCUGACCAGCAAGAUCCGGUAAAACCGAUCAACGGACAAAGUUACCCUAGGGAUAACAGCGCAAUCCCCUUUUAGAGCCCAUAUCGACAAGGGGGUUUACGACCUCGAUGUUGGAUCAGGACCCCCUAAUGGUGCAGCUGCUAUUAAGGGUUC
This 1490-nucleotide ribosomal RNA is filed under the name Hemigobius mingi. Its description in RNAcentral is "partial 16S ribosomal RNA". It matches the Rfam family "Bacterial large subunit ribosomal RNA", at positions 11 to 2574 of the family's 2925-position model. The record is from RNAcentral. Lineage: Eukaryota; Metazoa; Chordata; Actinopteri; Gobiiformes; Gobiidae.